This 208-nucleotide ribosomal RNA is filed under the name uncultured bacterium. RNAcentral describes it as "partial 16S ribosomal RNA". It matches the Rfam family "Bacterial small subunit ribosomal RNA", at positions 1293 to 1500 of the family's 1533-position model. The record is from RNAcentral.
UCGGAUUGUAGUCUGCAACCCGACUACAUGAAGCUGGAAUCGCUAGUAAUCGCGGAUCAGAAUGCCGCGGUGAAUACGUUCCCGGGUCUUGUACACACCGCCCGUCACACCAUGGGAGUCGGAAAUGCCCGAAGUCUGUGACCUAACCGCAAGGGAGGAGCAGCCGAAGGCAGGUCGGAUGACUGGGGUGAAGUCGUAACAAGGUACC